This 147-nucleotide ribosomal RNA is filed under the name uncultured Pelotomaculum sp. RNAcentral describes it as "partial 16S ribosomal RNA". It matches the Rfam family "Bacterial small subunit ribosomal RNA", at positions 1241 to 1382 of the family's 1533-position model. Lineage: Bacteria; Bacillati; Bacillota; Clostridia; Eubacteriales; Desulfotomaculaceae. The record is from RNAcentral.
AGACGGAGGCGAAGCCGCGAGGCGGAGCAAAUCCGAAAAAAGCCCGGUCUCAGUUCGGAUUGCAGGCUGCAAUUCGCCUGCAUGAAGUCGGAAUCGCUAGUAAUCGCAGGUCAGCAUACUGGCGGUGAAUACCGGUUCCCGGGCCUU